Molecule: unclassified non-coding RNA, 306 nt
Filed under: plant metagenome
Description: partial contains 5.8S ribosomal RNA, internal transcribed spacer 2, and large subunit ribosomal RNA
Rfam family: 5.8S ribosomal RNA (bases 1-105)
Source: RNAcentral
GAAAUGCGAUAAGUAAUGUGAAUUGCAGAAUUCAGUGAAUCAUCGAAUCUUUGAACGCACAUUGCGCCCGCCAGUAUUCUGGCGGGCAUGCCUGUCCGAGCGUCAUUUCAACCAUCAAGCCCCCGGGCUUGUGUUGGGGACCUGCGGCUGCCCGCAGGCCCUGAAAACCAGUGGCGGGCUCGCUGUCACACCGAGCGUAGUAGCAAUCACCUCGCUCAGGGCGUGCUGCGGGUUCCGGCCGUUAAACAGCCUUACAAAACCCAAGGUUGACCUCGGAUCAGGUAGGAAGACCCGCCGAACUUAAGC